Molecule: long non-coding RNA, 900 nt
Organism: Camellia sinensis
Lineage: Eukaryota; Viridiplantae; Streptophyta; Magnoliopsida; Ericales; Theaceae
Source: RefSeq, a predicted model, not a curated record
UUCGUGGAUAUAUAUACUAGUUGAGGACUGGAAUGGGCCUGACGUUGUCGAUGAAAUCAGUGAGACAUUUCGUAGCCGGUGAGAUCAGCCAUUGCUAGGUUUGUUCCACGGAAAAGUAUUCGAAUUCCAAUUAUAAGACGUGAAAACUAUGGAAUUGGCCACGCCCAGAUGUUGUCCAUGGAACUUGAAGAUAUUCUAAGGGUUGAGUGUUGUGAGCCACAUAUCUCAAUGCUACAUAAUAUUAGAAAUGAGAGGUCACAUGGUGGGUUGAGUGGCACUAGCCUUCACCUAUUUGUUGCUAAAUGGUUGGUGCUACCUAUGUGUUGGUAAUACUUAAAGCUCCCUUGCCAGGAUCAUUUGAGUCUCAACAAAAUGGCACUCUUCCUUGGUGGUGGCUACAACCAAUACAUUUCCAUGGAUGGAACUACUGUGAUAUCAGCAUUGGUUAUUCUUGCUGCUGGAGUUUGACAAGAAGUGGAAUCAUGGAAUGGCUACAUCUUGCGCCCUCUUGCUGAUCUACUAUGGCUAUACUCUGUUGUUAUUUUCUUAUGUUAUUACCUCAUGUCUAAAAUCUUUAAUAUCAGAAAAUGUUUAUUUUAUUUUGCUUAUCUUGGUGGGUUGUACUAGGGAACUGUGGAGUCUGCCAUUAGUAGUGGUGUAUAUAGUCUAUGUAGCAGGGACCAGUUGGCCUUUACGGUUAUUUUUUAUUUUGAUGCUGCUGGUUGCUGAAGUCCCAGGCCCUAGGUUUUCUAGAUUUUUUAGAGUUAUGUGCAUGUUGAAAUUUCUAAUUCAUUGGUUAAAGUGGAACAAACUACAUUGUAUGAAGGUUGCCAACUUGUUUUUCUUGAGGAAACAUGUGCCAAUGGCAGCAAAGGAGCAUUAAAAAUAUGAAAACUUUAA